Varanus komodoensis (Komodo dragon) is the source of this 154-nucleotide non-coding RNA. Ensembl annotates it as small Cajal body-specific RNA 1. The record is from Ensembl. NCBI's taxonomy places the organism in Eukaryota, Metazoa, Chordata, Lepidosauria, Squamata, Varanidae.
AAGCACUUGAUACUAACCAAGCCAUCUUUACCUUAGUCCAGAGGUAUAACUUGUGAUUGGCUGGGUCUAAGAAGUGCAACAUCAAAGCAAGCCAUGAAGUGAUCAAGCUCAGUAUGUGGAGAGUCACACUGGGUUAUGAUUCAGAGGCACAGAU